CCUACGGGGGGCAGCAGUGAGGAAUAUUGGUCAAUGGUCGGGAGACUGAACCAGCCAAGCCGCGUGAGGGAUGAAGGUACAGAGUAUCGUAAACCUCUUUUGUCAGGGAACAAAGGCGGGGACGCGUCCCCGGAUGAGUGUACCUGAAGAAAAAGCAUCGGCUAACUCCGUGCCAGCAGCCGCGGUAAUACGGAGGAUGCGAGCGUUAUCCGGAUUUAUUGGGUUUAAAGGGUGCGUAGGCGGACGCUUAAGUCAGCGGUAAAAUUGCGGGGCUCAACCUCGUCGAGCCGUUGAAACUGGGUGCCUUGAGUGGACGAGAGGUACGCGGAAUGCGUGGUGUAGCGGUGAAAUGCAUAGAUAUCACGAAGAACUCCGAUUGCGAAGGCAGCGUACCGGGGCCCAACUGACGCUGAGGCACGAAGGCGUGGGGAGCGAACAGGAUUAGAUACCCUUGUAGUC
This 459-nucleotide ribosomal RNA is filed under the name uncultured bacterium. RNAcentral describes it as "partial 16S ribosomal RNA". It matches the Rfam family "Bacterial small subunit ribosomal RNA", at positions 338 to 795 of the family's 1533-position model. The record is from RNAcentral.